AUUAAUGCUGACGGCGUGCCUAAUCUAUGCAAGUCUUUGUUUUGUAGCAAUACAAGACAAGGCAGACGAGUGAGUAACACGUAGGAACCAACCUUUAAGUUGGGCAUAACCUCGAGAAAUCGGGGAUAAUACCCAAUAGUCUCGCAAGAGUAAAGCUUCGGCGCUUAAAGACGGGCCUGCGUCCUAUCAGCUAGUUGGUAAGGUAAUUGCUUACCAAGGCGAUGACGGGUAGGGGGCGUUAGAGCGUGUACCCCCACGAUGGCACUGAGAUACGGGCCAUACACCUACGGGUGGCAGCAAGUAGGAAUCUUGCGCAAUGCUCGCCAUAGGCGAGUGACGCAGCGACGCCGUGUGCAGGAAGAAGAUUUUCGGAUUGUAAACUGACGUUAAAAAGGAGCGGCUAACUUCGU
RNAcentral lists this ribosomal RNA (410 nucleotides) under uncultured bacterium. Its description in RNAcentral is "partial 16S ribosomal RNA". It matches the Rfam family "Bacterial small subunit ribosomal RNA", at positions 29 to 506 of the family's 1533-position model. The record is from RNAcentral.